AAGACAUAAUCAUAUGAUAUGAAUUUUUUCUUGAGACACACAAGACAAAGCCCCACCUAAUGAAACAGUAGUCCUGUUUUCUUUCAGUUAGACAUCUGAGUUUUGGAAUGGCUUAGUCCAUACGGAGCAAUCUUUGUUUCACUUUCCAGGCCAGAACAAAUUUAUGCCCAGCUUACUUGGUACACACAUAAAGAAACUCAGAUCUGUCUGCAGCCAUGUGUAUAUGCUUGCCAUAUCUUGAACUCUUUUCUUCUGUGCAGAGCUGUAUAGGUAGGAAGCAGGAUCAGAAUCAUAGCAACUAUUCUCCUUUCUCAUGCUAAAAUAUUCUGAUGGAUCACCAUCAGCUGCCAAGCCUUCUGCUGCAAUUUUGCCCUGGGAAAUGUGGCAUAAGGUGAAGAUUUUCUGUGAGAGUUCACAAAAUAUAUGCUUUCACCAUAUCAGGAGGUACUUCUGCAUCCUGUGAAGAGGUGGUGGCUGAGUCAGCAUGGUCCACUCCUCCUUCAAGUGAGAGUGCUAUUUGAAAAUGGGAUUUAAUACCAAGGCUUGACACUAAGAAGGAUGAUGGUGUGAGAUGGUUAGCAUAUGUGACACUACCGGCUGAAAGCAGAGGCAUACAAUUUCUCCUGACAAAACCACAUCUACUACAAGCAGGAAGAAAGUUGCAUGCUACGCCUGAUAACUUCCUGAGAUCACCUUCCUGCACAUGUAGGAAAAAUCUUUCAGGUUGUGGAUCAAGUAGAUUUAAAACAAUCUUGGCUUCAUUUAGAACAUCUUUGCUUUCAAGAGACACCCUACAACAUAUUCCAAAGUCCAGUCUUUUAGUGUUUGCAAAUAUUAUUUGUUAAUUCUAUGAAGCUUUUAUUGUAAAGAAACAAACAAACAAAAUAUUUAAAUAUUGUGUAGAUUUGUUUGGAGAUCAGAAUAGUAAUGUCUAUGUGUAUGAAUGAUUAUUAUAGAAGUAUAAACUACUGAUAAAAUAGAGACAGAAUUUGUGCUAUCAGCCACAGUCAUCCAUUUUGUAAUUAUGUAAUUAUCCAUUUUUGUAAUUAUUAAAAGAUAACAUUACAGUAAGAG
This 1074-nucleotide long non-coding RNA is filed under the name Anas zonorhyncha (Eastern spot-billed duck). RNAcentral describes it as "lncRNA (ENSAZOG00000010138.1)". Lineage: Eukaryota; Metazoa; Chordata; Aves; Anseriformes; Anatidae. The record is from RNAcentral.